Molecule: long non-coding RNA, 4271 nt
Organism: Oncorhynchus keta (chum salmon)
Lineage: Eukaryota; Metazoa; Chordata; Actinopteri; Salmoniformes; Salmonidae
Exons: 8
Source: RefSeq, a predicted model, not a curated record
ACUUAUCUUAUAAAAAUCAAUCAAUCAUAAUCACUAGUUAACUACACAUGGUUGAUGAUAUUACUAGUUUAUCUAGCGUGUCCUGCGUUGCAUUUAAUCGAUGCGGUGCGUAUUCGCGAAAAAGGACUGUCUUUGCUCCAAUGUGAACCUAACCAUAAACAUCAAUGCCUUUCUUAAAAUCAAUACACAAGUAUAUAUUUUUAAACCUGCAUAUUUAGUUAAUAUUGCCUGCUAACCUGGCUCGUUGCGAACUCAGAAGACUAUUUCUUCCUAACAAAGAUAGCCAACUUCGCCAAACGGGGGAUGAUUUAACAAAAGUGCAUUUGCGAAAAAAGCACAAUCGUUGCACGACUGUAACUAACCAUAAAAUCAAUACACAGAAGUAUAUAUUUUUAAGCCUGCAUAUUUUGCUGAAUGAAAUCCAGGUUAACGGGCAAUAUUAACCAGGUGAAAUUGUGUCACUUCUCUUGCGUUCAUUGCACGCGGAGUCAGGGUAUAUGCAACAGUUUGGGCCGCCUAAUUUGCCAUAAUUGUACGUAAUUAUGACAUAACAUUGAAGUUUGGGCAAUGUAAAAGGAAUGGACUUUAGACUUAUGGAUGCCACCCGUUAGAUAAAAUACAGAACAGUUCCAUAUUUCACUGAAAGAAUAAAGGUCUUGUUUUCGAGAUGAGUUUCCGGAUUCGACCAUAUUAAAGAGGUAGGGGUGAGGAGAGGGACGGAAGCUAUACUGUUACACUGGCAAUGCUAAAGUUGCCUAUAAGAACAUCCAAUAGUCAAAGGUAUAUGAAAUACAAAUCGUAUGGAGAGAAAUUGUCCUAUAAUUCCUAUAUUAACUACAACCUAAAACUUCUUACCUGGGAAUAUUGAAGACACCUGUUCAAAGGAAUCAUCAGCUUUCAUAUGUUCUCAUGUUCCGAGCUUGGAACUUAAACGUUAGCUUUUUUACAUGGCACAUAUUGAAUUUUAACUUUGUUUUUGCAUUAUUUAAACCAAAUUGAACAUGUUUCAUUUUAUUUGAGGCUAAAUUGAUUUUAUUGUUGUAUUAUAUUAUGUUAAAAUAAGUGUUCAUUCAGUAUUGUUGUAAUUGUCAUUAUUACAAAAAAAAUGUAAAAUCAAAUCAGCCGAUUAAUCGGUAUCGGCUUUUUUUGGUCCUCCAAUAAUCGCUAUCGGUAUCGGCGUUGAAAAAUCAUAAUCGGUCGACCUCUAAUAUAUAUAUAUAAUUGUUUUUACCUUGGACCGGUCCUUAGUACAGACAUUCUAUCAUUCAUUAUAUCCAUUGAGUCCAAACUCAUUUGGUGGCAGAGUUCUCCAGUUGAGGGGAGGGAGAGAGCAAGCCUAUCCCAAUGUCAUUGACCCCCAUCAAGGGUGUCUGGCUGGGGGUCUGGAGGUCUGUGAUUCUAUACAGAGUGCAUGGGGGUGCCACAGGUCAAUGGCUUUAGUCAAUAUGGCAUCUGUGUUCUCUUGUGGCACCUGCUAGAGGAAGGAGAAAACAAAACAAAUCUAUGUGCUUGGUAGAGAAAGGAGGAUAUUUUUUCCAAACAAUUUGAGGGAGUGUGCACGUCCGGCUGUUCUGUGUUGAGCGGCUAACAAAGAAACAGGUAGUCUUAUAUGCUUCAUUUACAGUUAUUUAUGGAACUGUAGUUGUGAUACAAAUGUUCAAAUCAAAUCAAAUUGUAUUAGUCACAUGCACUGAGUACAACAGGUGUAGGUAGACCUUACAGUGAAAUGUUUACUUACGAGCAGCUAACCAACAGUGCAGUUUCAAAAAAUCCGGAUAGGAAUAAGAGAUAAAAGUAACAAGUAAUUAAAGAGCAGCAUUUGACUAGAUGUUCAGGAGUCUUAUGGCUUGGGGGGAGAAGCUGUUUAGAAGCCUCUUGGACCUAGAUUUGGCUAUGUUUGAAUUUUUUAUACAUUCUAAGACCGCAUGACUCGACUAACGAUGAUUUGAAAAAAGUUGCAUGAAAGGCAUGAGCUCUGAUUUUUUUUUUGAGCAGGCUGUACACACUUCAUCAGUCUCUCAUUCCCAAUUUGACAAGCACUUGAUAACACCUCAAAUUUUCCAUCUGCAUCCCCUUUGUGUGUCCGUAAUGCCCCCUAAAAAUAUCCAUGCCUUUUGCGGCCAGUGGCUGUUGUGCCCUUAGGCUGAAUAUAAUAAUUAUAAUUCCCUUCUCCCGCCUGUAUGCUCGCACCUCUCACUCACAUGGCUCUCAUUAUCAAAUCUUUCUCACAGGCUACAAGUGAAGACAGACACAUCGGGGACGCAACUGCGUGUGUCCUUAUCCAAUUCCGAGGCGCAUAUUGAAGAUAUUCGAAGAACUGUCCACAUUUACUUUUUAACAGCCAGCAAGAUGAGCAGGCCUAACGAAGAGCAAAAGCACUAGCCUAUGUCAAUGUACUAUGUAUGCCCCAUUGUACAAAAGUUGACCCAUUCUAUUCUGUGCAAGAAAUAAAUAUUCCAAACAUAGUCUGGGACAGUUGUGGUAUGCGAUAGAUCCCAAAUUAAUACAACCACUAGCAUUAAAAAAAUCCUGUUUUAAGCAAUGAGCCUGACGCAACAGAUGAGAACGUUUUAGCUUAAAAAUGUUGAUAAACUAUGAGGCUAUUUCUUCACAUUAUAAGCGCAGCAAUGCGCACACAGCAGUAGGCUAUAAGCACUAAUGUUCCAUUAUCAGGAAAACACCAUUCUCAAAAGUGAACACAAAUGUGAUUGUGCUUGUAAUGCUUUUAUUAUAAAGAUGCUUUUUUUACUGUGAAAAUGAUCUUCCCCAAACUUGAAACUCACGCGGUGCGUAUGUAUGCCAGUUAGGCUCAACAUCCCUUGUAAUGCGGAUUAAUGUGCUUCAAUUUAAGAAGUUAUUUGGCCACUUUAGGUGUGAUACAAACCUUAGGCAUAUGGGCUAGGCUACAUGAGGUGUGCAACUAUGAUUUUAAAAAGUUGCCAAAAAAAGCAUGCGCCGUUUCUUGUCUUAAGCUGGGCAUCAUUCACAAGUGAUAAAACAGUAUACCAUUCACAAGUGAUAGGCUAAUAUUGUCACCCAUCACACUAUUCUUGAUUUAAUCUUGUCUUUACAUACACUAAAUAACAUAUGUGUGAAAUUUGUUUUGAUUUACAAUGGGCCAUUAUCAUGCAGCUGUCUCGAAACGGGGGCAGCGGGAGAAAAUACAUGUCAUCUAUGCACUUAAAUAGCGAACGAGGAUGCAUUUCCCGUGAUUCAUUUUCAUGCCAGCCAGGUGAGAAUCCCGACUGCAGUGUGCAGUCCUGGACCGGGCUCAAUGUGGGUGGAGUCAAACGUCUGGCCGGGCUCGAUGUGGCCGGAGUCUAACGCGUUUAACCCGAACCCUUCCCAUCUCCUUCAACGUCACCCAAGUUGAGAAACAUUGCUCGCCUCUUGUCUCCUGGACCUUGGAGGACUUUUGGUGUGGAUGAUGUUAUUCCACUGAACUGUACUGUUUGAUUGUCAUUCCUUAUUGAAACUUGUACCUUGUUCACACGACACGGCCUACCAAAGCAAGGUUUCUCAAACAACUGUGGGGUGUUUGUUGUGAUGUACGUUCUGUACAUUGCAAUGGAAGCACAGUGUGAUUUCACUGAGGAAAACAUACAUGCAGCAAAUUAGGCGAUGGUGGUGCCUAGUUCUCCUGCAGAACUUUCCCAUCCCGUCUGAAGAGGUUAAAAAUAUAAAAAAAUGAGUGAAAACAAAACACACUACAGGAUGAUGUAGAAGACUUCCCCCCAAGAAGUCACAGCAUGUCACAUCAGCAUCCAGCUGUGUAGGAUCAGACGAUCCUGAAAACAAAAUGAAUGUGAACUGGGAGCUGUGAACUGAGAAGCAGAUGUUCUUCUAAGGGACACCCUAGAGGCAGCAAGGUGGUGUGAACUGCAAACAUUUAAAGGCAGUUUCCCUCCCUAAUGUAAUUAGGAAUACCGUAUUACAACUGUUAAAGAACUACGGUUGUAUGAUGGCCUGGAUGAAGAGGAAAAUAUUCUCCUCAAGGAACCAUUCAUGUUCCAUUUACAGAGAGAUAAGAUGUUCUAUGUGGAGGAAGUUGACAACAAGAAAAGUACUGUCUUUGCCUCUUUUGGAAGCCAUUUUUGAGGAGUGGUCAAACCUUGUUUUUGUCUGCUGUGUUAAUUGUUUCAAUUGUUAAUUGUGUUAUGUUGUUCAGUGAAGAUGACGUAGCAUGAAGUGAAAAGUGUUUACAACUCACCUGCUAGUACUUUAUAGAAUAUUUCUUACGAUCUUCAAAAAUGAAAUAUGUUUGUAUUCAA